GCUCCUGUGGCCUAGUGGUAAGAGCAUCCGCCUUAGAUGCAGGAGGUCGUUGGUUCGAUCACCAUUUGAGUCA
This is a non-coding RNA of Potamilus streckersoni, 73 nucleotides long. The record is from the annotation of a GenBank genome assembly. Lineage: Eukaryota; Metazoa; Mollusca; Bivalvia; Unionida; Unionidae.